Molecule: long non-coding RNA, 207 nt
Filed under: Phoenix dactylifera (date palm)
Lineage: Eukaryota; Viridiplantae; Streptophyta; Magnoliopsida; Arecales; Arecaceae
Description: long non-coding RNA (PDAC_LNC004225)
Source: RNAcentral
GCCGACGAUGAACUUCCAAGACGGAGAAGGGUUCGCCGGUGGCCUGGUAGCCAGAUUUGGUUAGAACCAUGCACAGGCAAGAAUCUAUGUGCUCUGAUACCAAAACUUGAUCCGAACGAGGAAGGUAGAAUCGCAAAGCCUUCGUUCUGAUCGUCAAAAUAGGAGAGAGAAAUGUUUUGGGACCAAGGGGUUAUAUUGGGAAGAGCU